UAUCUCUGUAGAGUCUGCAUAUCAAUAAGCGGAGGAAAAGAAACUAACUAGGAUUCCCUUAGUAACGGCGAGUGAAGCGGGAAGAGCUCAAAUUUGAAAUCUUCCAAGGUUUUACCUUGACGAAUUGUAGUUUAAAGAAGUGUUUUCUGUUGGGAUUUUGGUAAAAGUUCUUUGGAAAUAGGACAUCAUAGAGGGUGAGAAUCCCGUAUUUGACCAUUAUUUCCAGCUUUGUGAUACACUUUCAAAGAGUCGGAUUGUUUGGGAAUGCAGUCCAAAAUGGGUGGUAAAUUUCAUCUAAAGCUAAAUACUGGCGAGAGACCGAUAGCGAACAAGUACCGUGAGGGAAAGAUGAAAAGAACUUUGAAAAGAGAGUUAAACAGUACGUGAAAUUGUCAAAAGGGAAGCGUUUGACACCAGUGUUGUUUUCUCGAAAAUCAAUUAAAAAAGAUUGGAUUUUGUGUUGUAUUGACUUUAUCAGCUUCCUGCACUCUUUUCUUGUCUUUUUUAAUGCACUUUUCGUUUAACAAGUCAACAUCAAUUUCUUUUGUUGUAAAAGGGUCAUUGGAAGGUGGCUUUCUUUUCGGAGAAAGUGUUUAUAGCCUUUGGCUUCUGCAAUCGGAGAGAUUGAGGUCUGCAGCGUAGAUCCUUCGGGGUUAGAUACAUUUGUGCUAAGUUAUAGCCUUUCAUAGACAACUUGUUGACUAUGAUCAGUCAUGUAGCUUACUCGCUUAUGCUAUUUUACCUACGCUUAGGAUGUUGAUCUCUCACAGUCGAGC
This 776-nucleotide ribosomal RNA is filed under the name uncultured Neocallimastigales. RNAcentral describes it as "partial large subunit ribosomal RNA". It matches the Rfam family "Eukaryotic large subunit ribosomal RNA", at positions 24 to 645 of the family's 3401-position model. The record is from RNAcentral. Lineage: Eukaryota; Fungi; Neocallimastigomycota; Neocallimastigomycetes; Neocallimastigales.